Molecule: non-coding RNA, 1186 nt
Organism: Punica granatum (pomegranate)
Lineage: Eukaryota; Viridiplantae; Streptophyta; Magnoliopsida; Myrtales; Lythraceae
Source: RefSeq, a predicted model, not a curated record
GGAAGAUUCUCAUCUCAGAACAAUGAUAAUAAUGGUGUAACGAUGACAGGGUGAUGACCACAUCCUUAACUGCCUGCCCUGUAUAAUAAUUCCCCGACAGCGACGGUUCUGUCUCCCUCCUCCUCCUCCUCCUCCUCCAUGCUCUGUUUCAGCCACCUCUGCUUUGAAUAAUCAGAAUUGCGGUGAUGACGGUUGAGGCGGCGACGGCUGAGGAGGCGGAGAUUGAUCGGCUGCCGAUCGACCUGCUGGCCCACAUACUCUCCAUGAUCGCCUCCUUCACCGAUUUGGCACAGGCCAGCGGAGUGUGCAGGAGAUGGAAGUUGGGGGUGAAGCUGUCUUUCGGGCGCAGGGAGAGUCUGAGCUUCGCGGGGUGGAAGAUGGACGACGACUCCACUGCCCGUAUCGUACGGCACGCUUACGGCCUCAAAGAGCUCGACAUAUCGAGAAGCCGCUGGGGUUGCCAGAUAACUGACAGAGGGCUCUGCAGAAUUUCCUCCGCGAAAUGCAUCGGAAACCUCACGUCCAUUUCCCUGUGGGGAAUGACGGGAAUCACAGAUGCAGGCGUCGUUCAACUGAUCUCGAGAGCCAGUUCCUUGAGGCACCUGAAUAUAGGCGGCACAUUCAUCACCGAUGAAUCGUUGUUUGCCAUUGCAAAGAGCUGUCCCCAAUUGAAGACUAUCAGCCUCUGGUGCUGCCGCCAUAUGACUCGAGGUGGACUCGUCGUCCUUGUGAGUAGAUGCUGCAAACUUAAGUCGAUUAACAUCUGGGGAACGAGGGUUCCUCUAGAUUGCUUCGCUGAUCUGCUCAGUAUCAGCCCGGAUCUCGUGAUAAAGCCGUAGAGCACCGAGAAAUCAGCCAUUUUCAGGAACCUCCUCGCCGACCAAAAGCUUGCACAUACAAUCAGUGAUUCUGCUAUAUUAUCGCAAUGGAACCCGACUCUGAAAUCUAUUACCAACGUAGAAACCCGAGAACGUGGAGCAUUACUUUUGAUAGAAAGGACCAUCAAUAUAAUGAUACAGUUUUUACUUUCUUCGUGGGUGGAUACUAAUCUCAAUUCCUACAGAGAAAAUACCGAAUUUUAAUUAUGAUAUAAACAUCCUAUGUAACUCAUAACUGAAGAACCUCAUAGUUCAUGGCAUUCUCGAGCUAUCUACUCUUCUAACCAGCAAACCCACCGUAAGACCUG